This 253-nucleotide ribosomal RNA is filed under the name uncultured bacterium. RNAcentral describes it as "partial 16S ribosomal RNA". It matches the Rfam family "Bacterial small subunit ribosomal RNA", at positions 524 to 776 of the family's 1533-position model. The record is from RNAcentral.
GACGAACUGUCCUAACGUUGUUCGGAAUCACUGGGCUUAAAGGGCGCGUAGGCGGUCGGACAAGUCGGGGGUGAAAUCCUGCAGCUUAACUGUAGAAGUGCCUUCGAUACUGUCCGUCUGGAGGGAGGUAGGGGUGUGCGGAACUUCCAGUGGAGCGGUGAAAUGCGUUGAUAUUGGAAGGAACGCCGGAGGCGAAAGCGGCGCACUGGACCUUUUCUGACGCUGAGGCGCGAAAGCUAGGGGAGCAAACGGG